GGUCAAGAUGCUAAGGGCCCACGGUGGAUGCCUUGGCACCCGAGCCGAUGAAGGACGUGGCUACCUGCGAUAAGCCAGGGGGAGCCGGUAGC
This 92-nucleotide ribosomal RNA is filed under the name Actinomycetota bacterium. RNAcentral's name for it is "Actinobacteria bacterium (sediment metagenome) partial 23S ribosomal RNA". It matches the Rfam family "Bacterial large subunit ribosomal RNA", at positions 1 to 93 of the family's 2925-position model. The record is from RNAcentral. Lineage: Bacteria; Bacillati; Actinomycetota.